UGUGAAGCUUAAAGUCAUUGAUUAGUCACUUAAAUAGAUGUAAAUGACUAAGAUGGGUGCUGUGAUACUUCAACUAAAAGAGCACUGUGUUUACUGUUCCUUAGCAAAACAUCUUCACAAUGAUCACCAUUCACUGCCAUGCUUUACAGUGUCUGCCUUAAUAGGAGCGAGGGCCUGGCUUACUAUUGUCUGCCUGGGCUCUGAGGGUUUGUGUGUUUCUAUCUCAGUAAGAGGGACAAUUGGGAUAAACAGCUCACAGAUGGACAUUGAGUUGAUGAUUCGGUCAGUUUGGAUUAUGUAAGUGGAGAGAAGUCGCAACUAAACUGCAUAUGAGACAUCUGUAUGCUGUAGCGGUGGAGGUCCAAGGAGCCUAGAAAUAACUAAGUCAGAAAAAGACCCGAGGGGGGAUAGGAAGUGUGUGCAUCUCAAGAGGCUGGGUCGUAGCAGCGCUCUAAGGCUGUGCCCUUGCCCAGAACAAAAGAAAAAAAGAAAACGGCACCCUGCAAUAACUCUGCGGACUCCAAGCAAAUAGAAACUGAAGAAUGGAAGGCUCCAGAAUGUCUCUCCAUCUUCUCUUCUUCCUUCUGAUUGGACAAGCUUCACACACCAGCAUUACUCAGCCUCAGACCACUAAUGCCAUAUAUCCAACUGACAUAACCUCAAUUACCCAAGAGGAAAAUGACACCUCCAGCUCUCCCACAAAGGCCACCACGGGCUGCCUCAUCAAGCCCCAGUUGGGCUUCAUAGUGGUGACCUGCGCCGGGGGCCUGGUCCUGUUUCUGCUCGUCUCUACUGUGGUCCUGGCCUCCCAGGUGUGCAGUCUUAGGCGCCAAGCCCGUGCCCCUCGCCCCGCCCGCAGUAACGUGGACCUGGUGAGUGGCGCGGGCUACUGGGACACAGAGCACUCUGAGGGGGGCAUAGUGGGGCCCUGUGAUACCAGUGUCAUGUUGGAGGAGGUCCGUUUGGAUGGAGAAGAGGAUGAAGAGCAGGGGGAAGAAGAGGAGGAGGAAAGGGAGGAGGAGCAGGCAGAAGGGGUCAGAUGCCAAACAGGGGAUGCGAGAACAACUGGCGAAAUAGCCAUGCAGAUGCAGAGUUCCAGCUCCAGGGAUUUGUGUCUGGAAAUCCCCCAGGAUCUAGAGAACAUGCCCCUAGUGGUGUGAGUAGAGCAUUGCAUGCACUCCCUCUCCAGCCUCAGAGAGCCAUGGCCUGGCUCAGAGCUGAACUUCACUCAGGCAUAGAUAUCAACAGGCCAGAUCAGCUCCAGUCUUGUGCCUCAAGUCAAAACAAAGAGUAUUUGUUAUUUUUUUAAUAAGUACUCGAGCUAUAUGUAAUCAAUUUUAGGAGCUUUUACAUAUUUGCUUUGUAAACUGCAUUAAUCUGAUUUGGAAUGAUUUUGUCUCAAAUUUAUUUCUAUAGAGAACAUUUGAAUAGGCUGUUGGGAGCAGCAAGACAUUAAUUUGAAAUAAUGUGCUACGAACAGCACACUACUGCCAACUGCCCAAGUUAAUUAAGCUUACAGCUUACUACGAAGGUUCAGGAUCUUUGUACGGGGGGGGGGGGUCACUUAUAUUUUACAUUUGAGUCAUUUAGCAGACGCUCUUAUCCAGAGUGACUUACAGGAGCAACUAGGGUAAAUUACCUUGCUCAAGGGCAUAUUGACAAAUUAAAAACAGUGACCUUUCGGUUACUGGCCCAAAGCUCUUAACUGCCAAAUUCAAUCAUAUUAGCAGUACACUAUGCCAACUUCCCUUAAUGGCAGAGGUGUAACAAAGUGUAACAAAAAGGUAUUAAGCUUACGUAGAAAGUAUAUUUUGUUGAAGAUUGAAAUGAUAGAAACUCAACUCCAAUAUGUAAUAGAAUGGAAGCCCCCCCCCCAUCUCUAUUGACACUGUAGGCUAAAAGAUUCCUUCUCAGCAAACAAGCACUCAAACAUUGUCUACCAUAUAUAUAACUGAAUGUGGUGGCUUCUCCCCAAGACAUUAAAUGUCAAACAUUGUAUAAUAUAUGUUGUCCAAUCUAAACUGUCCUAUCUACCUGUAUUAAAAAAAUAUAAUAAUAAAACACACUCAAAUAUGCCAACAUGCUUGCUGGUCAGAUGUGAGUUCAGUUAAAAUGAUUACUUUCCACCAACUUGAUGUGAACUUCCUUUCCUUUAUCUGAAGUGAUUCCAUGCACAAAUACUAUACCAAGGGUAAACUUUGAACAUCUUGUUGCCAUCGGUGGCUGGGCACAGAGAUAGCAUUGGGCCUGCCAAGCCUACUUGUUACAUUAAUAAGUCUUCCCCUCAACCUUCACGUGUCAGUCGAGCAGUCACAGAACACCUAACUCAUUUGUUUCCACUCCUCUCUACUAAGGCUAACUUCUUUUCUCUUUUCUGUAAAAAUACAAUAUUUGUUUAAAUGCCACAACCCAAAUAAAUGGAGGUUUUGUGAACAGGUGUGAAUGAAUGGCAUUCUUGUUUUGAAUCGAUGGAGUAAGAACACAAGUGUUUAGACAACAGUUUCAGAA
Molecule: long non-coding RNA, 2508 nt
Organism: Oncorhynchus tshawytscha (Chinook salmon)
Lineage: Eukaryota; Metazoa; Chordata; Actinopteri; Salmoniformes; Salmonidae
Source: Ensembl